This 71-nucleotide transfer RNA is filed under the name Gymnothorax niphostigmus (snowflake-patched moray). Its description in RNAcentral is "tRNA-Ile". It matches the Rfam family "tRNA". Rfam says of the family: Transfer RNA (tRNA) molecules are approximately 80 nucleotides in length. Their secondary structure includes four short double-helical elements and three loops (D, anti-codon, and T loops). Lineage: Eukaryota; Metazoa; Chordata; Actinopteri; Anguilliformes; Muraenidae. The record is from RNAcentral.
GGAAGCGUGCCUGAAACCAAAGGACCACUUUGAUAGAGUGGAUCAUGGAGGUUAAAACCCUCCCACUUCCU